RNAcentral lists this microRNA (22 nucleotides) under Tetraodon nigroviridis (spotted green pufferfish). RNAcentral's name for it is "Tni-Novel-2_3p (mature (guide))". Lineage: Eukaryota; Metazoa; Chordata; Actinopteri; Tetraodontiformes; Tetraodontidae. The record is from RNAcentral.
CCGGAACCAGCGCGGCGCCUCU